UAAUACAGAGGGUGCGAGCGUUAAUCGGAAUUACUGGGCGUAAAGGGUGCGUAGGUGGUAGAUUAAGUUGGAUGUGAAAGCCCUGGGCUUAACCUAGGAAUUGCACUCAAUACUGGUUUACUAGAGUCGGGUAGAGGGAGGUGGAAUUUCCGGUGUAGCGGUGAAAUGCGUAGAUAUCGGAAGGAACACCAGUGGCGAAGGCGGCCUCCUGGAUCCAGACUGACACUGAGGCACGAAAGCGUGGGUAGCAAACAGGAUUAGAUACCCUGGUAGUCCACGCCUUAAACGAUGAGAACUGGAUGUUGGAGGGAUAAAACCCUUUAGUAUCGAAGCUAACGCGUUAAGUUCUCCGCCUGGGGAGUACGGCCGCAAGGUUA
This 377-nucleotide ribosomal RNA is filed under the name uncultured bacterium. Its description in RNAcentral is "bacterial SSU rRNA". It matches the Rfam family "Bacterial small subunit ribosomal RNA", at positions 521 to 896 of the family's 1533-position model. The record is from RNAcentral.